Molecule: ribosomal RNA, 647 nt
Filed under: uncultured bacterium
Lineage: Bacteria
Description: bacterial SSU rRNA
Rfam family: Bacterial small subunit ribosomal RNA
Source: RNAcentral
CACAUGCAAGUCGAACGCCCCGCAAGGGGAGUGGCAGACGGGUGAGUAACGCGUGGGAACCUACCUAGAGGUGCGGAAUAGCCCAGGGAAACUUGGAGUAAUACCGCAUAAGCCCGCAAGGGGAAAGAUUUAUCGCCUUUAGAUGGGCCCGCGUCUGAUUAGCUAGUUGGUGAGGUAAUGGCUCACCAAGGCGACGAUCAGUAGCUGGUUUGAGAGAAUGACCAGCCACACUGGGACUGAGACACGGCCCAGACUCCUACGGGAGGCAGCAGUGGGGAAUCUUGGACAAUGGGGGCAACCCUGAUCCAGCCAUGCCGCGUGAGUGACGAAGGCCUUAGGGUUGUAAAGCUCUUUUGGCGGGGACGAUAAUGACGGUACCCGCAGAAUAAGUCCCGGCUAACUUCGUGCCAGCAGCCGCGGUAAUACGAAGGGGACUAGCGUUGUUCGGAAUUACUGGGCGUAAAGCGCACGUAGGCGGAUUUGUUAGUCAGGGGUGAAAUCCCGGGGCUCAACCUCGGAACUGCCUUUGAUACUGCAAGUCUUGAGUCCGGAAGAGGUGAGUGGAAUUCCUAGUGUAGAGGUGAAAUUCGUAGAUAUUAGGAAGAACACCAGUGGCGAAGGCGGCUCACUGGUCCGGUACUGACGCU